This 564-nucleotide ribosomal RNA is filed under the name uncultured Glomeromycotina. RNAcentral describes it as "SSU rRNA". It matches the Rfam family "Eukaryotic small subunit ribosomal RNA", at positions 548 to 1114 of the family's 1831-position model. The record is from RNAcentral. Lineage: Eukaryota; Fungi; Glomeromycota.
UUGGAGGGCAAGUCUGGUGCCAGCAGCCGCGGUAAUUCCAGCUCCAAUAGCGUAUAUUAAAGUUGUUGCAGUUAAAAAGCUCGUAGUUGGAUUUCGGGAUCAGAUUGUCGGUCGUGCCUCGGUACGCACUGGCAUUAUUGGUUCCUACCUUCUGAAGAACCGCGAUGUCAUUAAUUUGGUGUCGUGGGGAAUCAGGACUGUUACUUUGAAAAAAUUAGAGUGUUUAAAGCAGGCGCACGCUUGAAUACAUUAGCAUGGAAUAAUGAAAUAGGACGUUUGAUUCUAUUUUGUUGGUUUCUAGGAUCGACGUAAUGAUUAAUAGGGAUAGUUGGGGGCAUUAGUAUUCAAUUGUCAGAGGCGAGAUUCUUGGAUUUAUUGAAGACUAACUACUGCGAAAGCAUUUGCCAAGGAUGUUUUCAUUAAUCAAGAACGAAAGUUAGGGGAUCGAAGACGAUCAGAUACCGUCGUAGUCUUAACCAUAAACUAUGCCGACUAGGGAUCGGAUGAUGUUAAUUUUAUAAUGACUCAUUCGGCGCCUUACGGGAAACCAAAGUGUUUGGGUUC